Molecule: ribosomal RNA, 456 nt
Filed under: uncultured bacterium
Lineage: Bacteria
Description: bacterial SSU rRNA
Rfam family: Bacterial small subunit ribosomal RNA
Source: RNAcentral
GCACAAGCGGUGGAGCAUGUGGUUCAAUUCGACGCAACGCGAAGAACCUUACCUGGGCUAGACAACGGUGGACCGUCCUAGAAAUAGGAUUUUCCCUUCGGGGACUGCCGGUUCAGGUGCUGCAUGGCUGUCGUCAGCUCGUGCCGUGAGGUGUUGGGUUAAGUCCCGCAACGAGCGCAACCCUUGUCCUUAGUUGCCACCAUUCAGUUGGGCACUCUAGGGAGACUGCCGGCGUUAAGCCGGAGGAAGGUGGGGACGACGUCAAGUCAUCAUGGCCCUUAUGUCCAGGGCCACACACGUGCUACAAUGGGCGGUACAAAGGGUCGCAAACCCGCGAGGGGGAGCCAAUCCCAAAAAGCCGCUCUCAGUUCGGAUUGGAGUCUGCAACUCGACUCCAUGAAGUUGGAAUCGCUAGUAAUCGCGGAUCAGCACGCCGCGGUGAAUACGUUCCCGGGC